CCGCCUGGCCUGGCCCGCGAGAUCCCUGCCGCUCCAGUUCGGAAUCUGGGAUCCGCAGGCUCCCAGAUCCGCCCCUGGCCCGGCUCCGACCCGCCCGUCAGCCGCCUCCCACUCAGCGUUAAUUAAAACUUGCGAGAUGGAGAGGCUGGCGCGGACGGCUCCGUUUUAUUUGCAGCAUCUUUCAUGCUGCUGACGAUCGUAAAGGGCUUUAAUAUUGAAAUAUGGGCCAUUUUCCCAGCUCCAGCCCUCGCCGCGCUCUCUCCGCACCCCCACACCCAGCCACCCCGCGCUUGAUGAAAGAGCCCCUGCAAAUCCAUUAAGGAGAGAUAAUUGAAAACUCCGGGGUAAUAUUUAAGACCGCGUGCCGACGCGGGGUGGAGGGCCUAACUGCGCCCGCUUUGUCCGUCAGUGCUGGUGCGUGCCAGUCCCUAGCGCUCUAGGCCCACCAAGGCCCCGCCGACGCCCAGCCAAGGCCCGCCGUCUUAGCGGUGCCUCCUCACUCCCUGCACUCAAAGGGCUGGCUCUGCGCUAACCUGGCUGUGCCUGGAGACCCGACUUGCCUGGAGACCCGAGUUCCAAAAGGAGCCACAGGGCACGCUGUGUGACAGAUGGAUUAGGGCCAGCAUGAACGGGGGCCAAAGCAUCUUGUCCCACUGCUUCAGCUUCGGUUUGGUGCACCAGCAUCAGGCACUGCUCAAGCUUCUGAGCACGGCAUCCCCUCUGCCUGCAAGCUUUUCCCUCCAGCACUUUCUACUUGCGGAACUGCUGUUCCUCUUUCAAAACCAACCCAGUUCCACCCCAAAACUGCAAGGUCCAUGAGGGCAGAGGCAGUGUCUGUUGCUGGGUGAGUGACUGGAUUGAGCUCAAAGCAUGUCUGAAGACUGAAAUGGGCCAGGCAAGGAGAUGGAAACUGGAGGCCUGGAUUCUGGCUCGGUCAUACCUCCAAGAACGUAACUUUCCCUCGACCCUGGGGAGUCUUCACAGACCUUCCUUCUGCUGUGAGGCACUGGAGAAUCACUUGAGACCAGACUCAGGAAACUCUUCCCUGAUGGGAAGACAUUCAUUCAUCCACUCCACAUCUCUGAAGCCCCAAGAGAAGGAUCUGAAUCCCCUAGUCUGAAGAGUCAGCAAGUGUCCAACAUAGCAAUCUUGAUAAAAAGGGAGAAUUGAUAAAGGAGGGAGCAGCCCCACCUCAGUAACAAGAGGGAGGAAAAUUCCAGCUAGUACAUGUACUUAACAUGAAAGCAGACAUGUGCCAAGACCCUGCUUUCAUGGAUAUUAGGUGUUCCCAAAUAUAAGAAACACCCAUUCUUGCCCACAGGCCUCACUGGAUACUAUCCAAGAUGUCUAGAGAAUAAGAGGAAAGAGAGAAUCAUAAUAUCCAAAAGGUGGAAACAACCCAAAUGUUCACCAAUAGGUGAACGGAUAAACAAAGUGUGAUAUAUCCAUACAAUGGAAUAUUAGUCAGCCCUGAAAAGGAAUGAAGUACUGAUAAAUGCUACAACAUGGAUGAACUUUGAAAACACUAUGCUCAAUGAAAGAAGCUAGUCACAGAAGGUCUCUUAUUAUAUGAUGCCAUUCAUAUGAAAGUCCAGAAUAGGGAAAUCUACAGAGACUGAAAGUACAUUAGUGUUGUUAAGGGCAAGAAGGAAUAUGGGGGGAUAGGGAGGUGAUAGCUAAAGGUUACAAGAUUUCUUUUUGAGGUGAUGAAAAUGUUCUAAAAUUAACUAUGGUGAUGGUUCGACAUACUUGUGAAUAUACUAAAACCAUUGAAUUGUACAUUUCAAAUGGUGAAUUGUAUGACACAUGAAUUAUACCUCAAGAAAGUUGCUUUUUAAAAAGACAGCGUAAGGGGUGGGGGGCAGUUGAGAUGAAGCAGGAAAACUGUGAUCAGAAGCAAAGCUCAGGGGCUGUCUGGCCUGGCUGCCCCAAGUCAAAGCCUGCAUUUCAUACAGGCAAUGUUAGGGUAGCCCCCAAGCCAUGAUUCGGAAAGAUAAAUUGACCCCAGAUGGAAUAGGGCUGGGUCCCUUCUCCCUUGACAGCUCCCUUUCUGUGUUUUUUCUGGCACAAGAAACUCUGUCAUCUUGUAUAAAUAGGAGAAAUUUAUGGCAGUUUUCCCUCUUCUUCUCCCUGGUGGGCUACUAGGAAAGGUCUAGGGGGAGGAGGGAGCCUGAAAUUCCAAAAAUAUAAAUGUGGAAAGACUGGAGGGGGUCGAGGAGUCUCUUUGCCUGCCUUAGCUCUGGCCCCAGCUCUCCUUUCCCUUUGCAUGUUUGACCAUCUGGGUGAUGAGGAGGGUAGAGAACUGGUGCAGCCCGUCCUCUCUGCAAGCCCAAAAGAGAUGGGUCCCAAAGCAGAUAUCCGACAGGAGGGGCACAAGGGAAAUCAAGGAAAUAGGCUUGGCUGUCCCAUGAAAUAAUUGGAGGAGACACAGACCACUGCCCUCCUUCCUGGAUUUGGCUAUUUUUGUACUUCCCUGUUUGUUGAGGCAGCCUGAUACAGCGGGAAGAGAACUCGUCCUCGAUUUAGAAAGAUUGACAGAGAAACUAAGUGUGUGACCUUAAGCAAGUCAUAUCUUGUCUCCGGGCCUCACCUGUAAAAAGAGGGAGGGGACUGAAUUUAUCAGGGGUUUUCAAAUGAUUUUAACUCUGGGGUCCUUCCUUCAAAUAAAACCGUAUGCAGUGACCCAACAUGAACAUGAGUAGUAGGCUGCUGAGCUUCUUGAAGGUAGGAAUGGGAGUCUCAGGGCCCUGUGGUGACUGGCGAGAGGCUUGUCCAAGCACAAGAUGAUCUCCAUGGCUUUUCCAGCCCCGUCCUCAGGAGGGAUUUGCCCCCAUGGUGAAGAGGCUCAGUUCUGCACACCCAGUGGGCUUGAAAUCCAGCUCCACCCCCUCCUGUGUGUCCCUCAGCACAUAACUUACCUUCCUUGAACCUGUUUCCUCGUGUGUAAAUUGGAAUAAUAGUAACACAUAUCUCAGAGGAUUGUCACAUAGAUUACACUAAAUAAUGUGCAUAGAGUCCUUCGCAUACUUAUCUGGCCCAAUAAAUAUUAUUAUAGUUAUUCCGUGAUCUGAUGUAAUCAUUUUUUUAUUUUGAGACAGAAUCUCAUUUUGUAGCCCAGACUGGUGCACAGUGGCAUGAUGUCAGUUCACUGCAACCUCCGCCUCCUGGGUUCAAGCAAUUCUCCUGUCUCAGCCUCCCAAGUAGCUGGGAUUACAGGAGUGUGCCACCGUGUCCAGCUAAUUUUUGUAUUUUUUAGUAGAGAUGGGGUUUCACCAUGUUGGCCAGACUGGUCUCGAACUCCUGGCCUCAAGUGAUCUGCCUGCCUCAGCCCCACACAGUGCUGGGAUUACAGGCGCAAGCCAUUGCACCUGGCCCGAUACAAUCUUUUUAAUUUGAAAUAUCUGGUGUGAGAAGGUGAAUUAGAAAGGAUGACAGCAAAACUGCUAUAACACAAAGGCCCCAAAACACAGUAGCAUAUAGAAAACAGAAGUUUAUUUCUCACUUAGUCUGGGAGGAAGCGGUUCCAGACAGCAGGCAGCUCUGUUCCUCCUAGUCAGUCAGGGACGUGUGUUCCUUUCAUACCUUUGCUUUGUCUUCCCUUAGGGAUGUCUUUUCAGUUGCCUGGUCAAACCUGUCUCAGGCACAUCUGCCCAGCUCAUGAAAGAGAGAACACAAAGGAGAAUUUACCCAAUGUCAUCAGGCUUUGAGGACAUGCUUGCCUCACAUUCCCCUGUGUCUACACCUGGCAACAAGAGCAGCUGGGAAAUGGAGUGUCCAGCUGGGUGUCUCUCUACCCUCGUGCAGCAAGGAAAGAAGAGAUUUUAGUGGACAACGGGCAGUCUUAAUCCAGGGCUCAAACCCACACCCGAGCUGUCCUCUUCCUCUUCUCUUCCCAAAGGAAGGGAAAUAAAGUCUACAGCCCAGAAAACAAUGUGACCACCCAUCCCCUACCCCAAUCAGGUCCCUGCCAUUCAUCCCAAGAUCAGCAGUCUUGGGAAAGUGGCUUGGAAGCCUCCCUCCAGAAAGACCACCCUUUUGUCCAUCUUCUUCACAUGGGUGGAUGUGAGAAAAGUUUCUCUCCCCACUGCCUGCCUGCCACUCCCUGUCUCAGUUUCAGCUCACGCUCUAGCCCUUUGUUCCCAGUCACCAAGAGUGACUACAAAUGCGGGGGAACAGGAGGACCUGAAACUUCAUGGAAAUUGAGACUGGGACACAGAAGCCAUGCUCAGAGGCAGCCUAGGUGAGGGUUCUGAUGCCAGGAAAUCCAGCUACUACUGUGUAGCCUAAAGCGGGGAUUAAGCUCUCAGAACUUCAAUGAACUCUUUUGGAAAUAGGGGUAAGAAGCCCACUUGUCAGGGCUGUUGUGAACAUCAAAUGUGAUCAUGUAUGUACCUAGUACAUAGUAUGCCUUCAAUAAAUGGUAAGGCAAACCCA
Long non-coding RNA from Homo sapiens (human), 4434 nucleotides. Ensembl lists it as uncharacterized. Lineage: Eukaryota; Metazoa; Chordata; Mammalia; Primates; Hominidae. The record is from Ensembl.